RNAcentral lists this long non-coding RNA (284 nucleotides) under Crocodylus porosus (Australian saltwater crocodile). RNAcentral describes it as "lncRNA (ENSCPRG00005011890.1)". Lineage: Eukaryota; Metazoa; Chordata; Crocodylia; Crocodylidae. The record is from RNAcentral.
UACAGAGCUAAGGUUAAAAUGCUGAGAUUUGCUGGACAAAGAUCAGGAAUUAAAUUCAACUCCAUGUUCAUUUCAUUUUACUCAGUCGCAGUUUAGAGAUCCAGGGAGGUCACUGUUAUUUUCUGGAAGUGAAGAAAGUCCUGAGAGAUCAGAAUAUUCACUGUGUCACAGCAUGCUUCUUUCUGUGAAGUUGAGAGGUUGGAUGUUGUCAAGCCAGUGUCAAGAUUUUCUUUAUAUUGGCCAAACAGAAUUUGCAUUGCUGUUGAUUGGAUAUUGAGUCAUAC